RNAcentral lists this ribosomal RNA (222 nucleotides) under Triticum aestivum (bread wheat). RNAcentral's name for it is "partial small subunit ribosomal RNA". The record is from RNAcentral. Lineage: Eukaryota; Viridiplantae; Streptophyta; Magnoliopsida; Poales; Poaceae.
AUGUUUGUCAAUUACCUUGAAAAUAUUACCUCGUCGACUCGGGAUAUCCAAACCGUGAAGGAUAUCUUGCUCCUUACAAAGGUCAAAUAUACCAUAUACCGGAAUUUCGUAAUGGGCGAAAACCGGUGGGAAAAUUCAAGGUGUAUAAUCAUGCUCACUCUUCACUUCGAAAUGUCAUUGAACGAACAUUUGGAGUGCUCAAAGCUAAAUGGCGCAUCUUGA